UAGGGAAUAUUAGUAAUGGGCGAAAGCCUGAACUAGCAACACCGCGUGUGCGAAGAAGGCCUUCGGGUUGUAAAGCACUUUUUGAGAGGAUGAGGAAGGACGGUACUCUCAGAAUAAGUCUCGGCUAACUACGUGCCAGCAGCCGCGGUAAAACGUAGGAGGCGAGCGUUAUCCGGAUUUACUGGGCGUAAAGCGUGUGUAGGCGGUUUGAUAAGUUGGAUGUGAAAGCUCCUGGCUUAACUGGGAGAGGUCGUUCAAAACUAUCAGACUUGAGAGUGGUAGAGGGAGGUGGAAUUCCUGGUGUAGCAGUGGAAUGCGCAGAUAUCAGGAGGAACACCAGUGGCGAAGGCGGUUCUCUGGACAUUAACUGACGCUGAGGAGCGAAAGCGUGGGGAGCAAACA
This 402-nucleotide ribosomal RNA is filed under the name uncultured prokaryote. RNAcentral describes it as "bacterial SSU rRNA". It matches the Rfam family "Bacterial small subunit ribosomal RNA", at positions 355 to 774 of the family's 1533-position model. The record is from RNAcentral.